Molecule: ribosomal RNA, 253 nt
Filed under: uncultured bacterium
Lineage: Bacteria
Description: partial 16S ribosomal RNA
Rfam family: Bacterial small subunit ribosomal RNA
Source: RNAcentral
UACAGAGGGUGCAAGCGUUGUUCGGAAUUAUUGGGCGUAAAGCGCGUGUAGGCGGCUUUGCAAGUCGGGUGUGAAAUCCCUCAGCUCAACUGAGGAAGUGCGCCCGAAACUGCAGAGCUUGAGUACCGGAGAGGAUGGCGGAAUUCCCCAAGUAGAGGUGAAAUUCGUAGAUAUGGGGAGGAACACCGGUGGCGAAGGCGGCCAUCUGGACGGAUACUGACGCUGAGACGCAAAAGCGUGGGGAGCAAACAGG